Molecule: ribosomal RNA, 253 nt
Filed under: uncultured bacterium
Lineage: Bacteria
Description: partial 16S ribosomal RNA
Rfam family: Bacterial small subunit ribosomal RNA
Source: RNAcentral
AACGUAGGUGGCAAGCGUUAUCCGGAUUUACUGGGCGUAAAGCGUGUGCAGGCGGGGGUACAAGUGGUGUAUGAAAUUUCCCAGCUUAACUGGGAAGGGUUAUGCCAGACUGUACUUCUGGAGUGCGAGAGAGGGGCGUGGAAUUCCGGGUGUAGUGGUGAAAUGCGUAGAGAUCCGGAGGAACCCCAGAGGCGAAGGCGGCGCCCUGGCUCGCAACUGACGCUCAGACACGACAGCAUGGGGAGCAAACAGG